GAAGGUUCGUCCGCCCUGGGUUAGUCGGGACCUAAGCUGAGGCCGAAAGGCGUAGGUGAUGGACAACAGGUUGAUAUUCCUGUACUACCGAUAACCGUUUGAGAGAAGGGAUGACACAGUAGGAUAAGCUAAGCACACUGUUGGUUAUGUGUGCCCAAGCAUUGAGGCAGUCAAAGUAGGCAAAUCCGCUUUGAUAAUGCUGGGAUGUGAUGGGGAGCGAAAUUUAGUAGCGAAGUAGCUGAUUUCACACUGUCAAGAAAAGUCUCUAUCGAGGUUAAAGGUACCCGUACCGCAAACCGACACAGGUGGGUGAGGAGAGUAUCCUAAGGCCAGCGAGAGAACUGUUGUUAAGGAACUCGGCAAAAUGACCCCGUAACUUAGGGAUAAGGGGUGCCACCAUCAGGUGGCCGCAGAGAAUAGGCCCAAGCGACUGUUUACCAAAAACAUAGGUUUCUGCUAAGUCGCAAGACGAUGUAUAGGAGCUGACGCCUGCCCGGUGCUGGAAGGUUAAGGGGAUCUGUUAGAGCAAUCGAAGCAGUGAACUUAAGCCCCAGUAAACGGCGGCCGUAACUAUAACGGUCCUAAGGUAGCGAAAUUCCUUGUCGGGUAAGUUCCGACCCGCACGAAAGGCGUAACGAUUUGGGCACUGUCUCAACAACAGACUCGGUGAAAUUGUAAUUCCGGUGAAGAUGCCGGAUACCUGCGACAGGACGGAAAGACCCCAUGGAGCUUUACUGUAGCUUGACAUUGGGUCUUGGUACUACAUGUACAGGAUAGGUGGGAGGCUUUGAAACCAGGACGCCAGUUUUGGCGGAGCCAUCCUUGGGAUACCACCCUUGUAGUACUGGGACUCUAACCAUAGGCCAUGAAUCUGGUCUUGGGACACUGUCAGGUGGGCAGUUUGACUGGGGCGGUCGCCUCCCAAAAGGUAACGGAGGCGCUCAAAGGUUCUCUCAGUACGGUCGGAAAUCGUACGUAGAGUGUAAAGGCAAAAGAGAGCUUGAUUGCAAGACAUACAGGUCGAGCAAGGAUGAAAAUCGGACUUAGUGAUCCGGUGGUUCUGCGUGGAAGGGCCAUCGCUCAACGGAUAAAAGCUACCCUGGGGAUAACAGGCUUAUCUCCCCCAAGAGUCCACAUCGACGGGGAGGUUUGGCACCUCGAUGUCGGCUCAUCACAUCCUGGGGCUGUAGUAGGUCCCAAGGGUUGGGCUGUUCGCCCAUUAAAGUGGUACGCGAGCUGGGUUCAGAACGUCGUGAGACAGUUCGGUCCCUAUCCGUCGCAGGCGUAGGAAAUUUGAGAAGACCUGUCCUUAGUACGAGAGGACCGGGAUGGACGUACCUCUGGUGUACCAGUUGUUCUGCCAAGGGCAUGGCUGGGUAGCUAUGUACGGAAUGGAUAAGCGCUGAAAGCAUCUAAGCGCGAAGCCAACUUCAAGAUAAGAUUUCCCACCGCAAGGGUAAGACCCCAGAAAGACUAUCUGGUUGAUAGGUCGAAGGUGUAAGUGCAGCAAUGUAUUUAGCUUAUCGAUACUAAUAGGUCGAGGACUUGACCAA
This 1553-nucleotide ribosomal RNA is filed under the name Clostridioides difficile. Its description in RNAcentral is "23S ribosomal RNA". It matches the Rfam family "Bacterial large subunit ribosomal RNA", at positions 1360 to 2925 of the family's 2925-position model. Lineage: Bacteria; Bacillati; Bacillota; Clostridia; Peptostreptococcales; Peptostreptococcaceae. The record is from RNAcentral.